UCAGACUUUCCAGCGAUUACCCCCGGACUGAUUUCCCGUUAACGACCCUGCCUGUCUCCGAACUACCCGCCUCGUCAAAUCCCCGGAUUACCCACCAGCCUUCUGUCCCCGACCUCAAACUCGGUUUCCUCAUCUCUGAACCUGGGUUACUUAUGUCUGAGGCAGCAAAGUGGGGGAUCUCCACAAUCACAGGACUGGAGGAGUAGAGGCCAGGUAGUGUGAAGGUGGAGGGGCAUGGGGGAGGUGGAGUUUACUGUGGGAUCGACCAAGCAUCCAUACGCAGCAGUGAGGAAGAAAGAGCACACACAAUGUUUUGGUUGGGUGCAAAAUGGAAACCUUCGGGGCUGAUUUGCUACAGUUGAAUGAGAUUAUUAACACUGUGGUCAUUUUUGUCUUUGGUGACCAAAAUUGUUCCAAAUCAAUCAUGAUAUAAAUUAAUACAUACACACUAUAUCAUACAAAAAUAAAAUUGUCAGUUUCAUUUAGUUCCAGCUGUUUUUUAUUCCAAAAUAAUUGUUCUAAUAACAUUUUAUAAUGCUUAUGAUGGUUGUGUCUGGAAUGUGAUAUUUUGUUUGCUAAUGUAACACUAAUGCAAAAAUGUGUAUGAUUGUAAUUACAAUUUUAAUGCUAAUAUUUUUGUUUUAAUUGUAUUGUAUUAAUGAAAUAAGUAUAUAUAAAACAAUAUAUAAUAUAUAUAAUCAAUUUAAAUUAUAAUAACAAUUGUAUUUAAAUAAUGCUUUGGGGGAUCUGUGUAUGUCUAAGUUUUUAUAGGCCAAUAAAGACAUUUUUGCAGU
Molecule: long non-coding RNA, 794 nt
Organism: Cottoperca gobio
Lineage: Eukaryota; Metazoa; Chordata; Actinopteri; Perciformes; Bovichtidae
Exons: 3
Source: RefSeq, a predicted model, not a curated record